This 495-nucleotide ribosomal RNA is filed under the name uncultured bacterium. RNAcentral's name for it is "partial 16S ribosomal RNA". It matches the Rfam family "Bacterial small subunit ribosomal RNA", at positions 28 to 507 of the family's 1533-position model. The record is from RNAcentral.
GACGAACGCUGGCGGCGUGCCUAAUACAUGCAAGUAGAACGCUGAAGGAGGAGCUUGCUUCUCUGGAUGAGUUGCGAACGGGUGAGUAACGCGUAGGUAACCUGCCUGGUAGCGGGGGAUAACUAUUGGAAACGAUAGCUAAUACCGCAUAAUAGUAGAUGUUGCAUGACAUUUGCUUAAAAGGUGCAAUUGCAUCACUACCAGAUGGACCUGCGUUGUAUUAGCUAGUUGGUGAGGUAACGGCUCACCAAGGCGACGAUACAUAGCCGACCUGAGAGGGUGAUCGGCCACACUGGGACUGAGACACGGCCCAGACUCCUACGGGGGGCAGCAGUAGGGAAUCUUCGGCAAUGGACGGAAGUCUGACCGAGCAACGCCGCGUGAGUGAAGAAGGGUUUCGGAUCGUAAAGCUCUGUUGUAAGAGAAGAACGAGUGUGAGAGUGGAAAGUUCACACUGUGACGGUAUCUUACCAGAAAGGGACGGCUAACUACGUG